Schistosoma mattheei is the source of this 46-nucleotide non-coding RNA. The record is from Rfam. NCBI's taxonomy places the organism in Eukaryota, Metazoa, Platyhelminthes, Trematoda, Strigeidida, Schistosomatidae.
GCACUGCUGAAGUGUCCCACAAUAGAACGAAACGGCCGCCCAGUGC